UUAAUUUUAUCCUAAGAUUAAAUAGGCUCCUAUUUAAUUUUAGGCUAAAAUUUUAGUUUAAAUCUUAUUUACCUUAUUAUGCAAAUGAAAAA
Molecule: long non-coding RNA, 92 nt
Organism: Austrofundulus limnaeus
Lineage: Eukaryota; Metazoa; Chordata; Actinopteri; Cyprinodontiformes; Rivulidae
Exons: 3
Source: RefSeq, a predicted model, not a curated record